GAGUUUUUAGUUUAAUAGGAUAAAACAUCAAUCUUCUAAAUUGAAUAUGAGGGUUCGAGUCCCUUAAAACACAC
This 74-nucleotide transfer RNA is filed under the name Tayloriella tenebrosa. RNAcentral's name for it is "tRNA-Arg". It matches the Rfam family "tRNA". Rfam says of the family: Transfer RNA (tRNA) molecules are approximately 80 nucleotides in length. Their secondary structure includes four short double-helical elements and three loops (D, anti-codon, and T loops). Lineage: Eukaryota; Rhodophyta; Florideophyceae; Ceramiales; Rhodomelaceae. The record is from RNAcentral.